RNAcentral lists this ribosomal RNA (446 nucleotides) under uncultured bacterium. Its description in RNAcentral is "partial 16S ribosomal RNA". It matches the Rfam family "Bacterial small subunit ribosomal RNA", at positions 338 to 795 of the family's 1533-position model. The record is from RNAcentral.
CCUACGGGUGGCAGCAGUCGAGAAUCAUUCACAAUGGGGGAAACCCUGAUCGUGCGACGCCGCGUGGGGGAAUGAAGGUCUUCGGAUUGUAAACCCCUGUCAUGUGGGAGCAAAUUAAAAAGAUAGUACCACAAGAGGAAGAGACGGCUAACUCUGUGCCAGCAGCCGCGGUAAUACAGAGGUCUCAAGCGUUUAUCGGAAUCACUGGGCGUAAAGGGUGCGUAGGCUGUUUCGUAAGUCGUGUGUGAAAGGCGCGGGCUCAACCCGCGGACAGCACAAGAUACUGCGAGACUAGAGUAAUGGAGGGGGAAGCGGAAUUCUCGGUGUAGCAGUGAAAUGCGUAGAUAUCGAGAGGAACACUAGUGGCGAAGGCGGGUUCCUGGACAUUAACUGACGCUGAGGCACGAAGGCCAGGGGAGCGAAAGGGAUUAGAUACCCCUGUAGUC